This 232-nucleotide long non-coding RNA is filed under the name Elaeis guineensis (African oil palm). RNAcentral describes it as "long non-coding RNA (EGUI_LNC077911)". The record is from RNAcentral. Lineage: Eukaryota; Viridiplantae; Streptophyta; Magnoliopsida; Arecales; Arecaceae.
UUGCAUCUCAUGCAAUUUUCAAUAUAAUCUUUACCUCUAAAAAUACUCAUAGCCUUGUGGAUAUCACAACAAACUAUAGUAUUUUAUAGUUAAGUCAGAUCCUUCAUUUUCAUACAGCCAUAUCUAAAAAAUACUAUCUUUGUGGAUAUCAUAACAAAGCAACAUAUCCAAAUAUGCUAUAAAGCAUAUAAUAUGCAUCAGGACAAACCCACAUCAAUCCCUAUAGCAAGCC